GUUAAAUAAUAUCCUUUACUCUAAUGUGUCGAUAUUAACAUUAAUCCACAUUUUUUUUUGAAAAAAAUGUUAAAUUAUAUCUUUAGAAAAAUAACGUUGUUACAACUAGUGCAUCAGGCGUUUGAUAAAGAAAGUAUUGAAACUUAGAUUGAGUUUGCUAAAUCUUAGGAUCGG
This 174-nucleotide small RNA is filed under the name Arabidopsis thaliana (thale cress). RNAcentral describes it as "ATSL179620". Lineage: Eukaryota; Viridiplantae; Streptophyta; Magnoliopsida; Brassicales; Brassicaceae. The record is from RNAcentral.